RNAcentral lists this non-coding RNA (90 nucleotides) under Pseudomonas sp. GV085. Lineage: Bacteria; Pseudomonadati; Pseudomonadota; Gammaproteobacteria; Pseudomonadales; Pseudomonadaceae. The record is from RNAcentral.
UGUAGGAGCGAGCCUGCUCGCGAUGGCGUCGGUACAUUCACUGUCGAUGUCGUCUGACACACUGCUAUCGCGAGCAGGCUCGCUCCUACA